This 468-nucleotide ribosomal RNA is filed under the name uncultured bacterium. RNAcentral describes it as "partial 16S ribosomal RNA". It matches the Rfam family "Bacterial small subunit ribosomal RNA", at positions 28 to 507 of the family's 1533-position model. The record is from RNAcentral.
GACGAACGCUGGCGGCGUGCUUAACACAUGCAAGUCGAACGGAAAGGCCCUGCUUUUGUGGGGUGCUCGAGUGGCGCACGGGUGAGUAACACGUGAGUAACCUGCCCUUGACUUUGGGAUAACUUCAGGAAACUGGGGCUAAUACCGGGUAGGAGCUCCUGCUGCAUGGUGGGGGUUGGAAAGUUUCGGCGGUUGGGGAUCGACUCGCGGCUUAUCAGCUUGUUGGUGUGGUAGUGGCUUACCAAGGCUUUGACGGGUAGCCGGCCUGAGAGGGUGACCGGCCACAUGGGGACUGAGAUACGGCCCAGACUCCUACGGGACGCAGCAGUGGGGAAUAUGGCACAAUGGGCGGAAGCCUGAUGCAGCAACGCCGCGUGCGGGAUGACGGCCUUCGGGUUGUAAACCGAUUUCGCCUGUGACGAAGCGUGAGUGACGGUAAUGGGUAAAGAAGCACCGGCUAACUACGUG